AAUCAACGCUGGCGGCGUGCCUCAGACAUGCAAGUCGAACGAUUAAAGCUCUCUUCGGAGAGUGUAUAGAGUGGCGCACGGGUGAGUAACACGUAAGUAAUCUACCUUUGAGUGGGGAAUAACCCGGGGAAACCCGAGCUAAUACCGCAUAAUGCAGCGGCACCGCAAGGUGACAGUUGUUAAAGGAGCAAUCCGCUUAAAGAGGAGCUUGCGGCAGAUUAGCUAGNGGUAAGGUAAUGGCUUACCAAGGCUUCGAUCUGUAUCCGGCCUGAGAGGGCGGUCGGACACACUGACACUGAAUAACGGGUCAGACUCCUACGGGAGGCAGCAGUCGGGAAUUUUGGGCAAUGGGCGAAAGCCUGACCCAGCAACGCCGCGUGAAGGAUGAAGUAUUUCGGUAUGUAAACUUCGAAAGAAUGGGAAGAAUCAAUGACGGUACCAUUUAUAAGGUCCGGCUAACUACGUGCCAGCAGCCGCAGUAAU
Molecule: ribosomal RNA, 483 nt
Filed under: uncultured bacterium
Lineage: Bacteria
Description: bacterial SSU rRNA
Rfam family: Bacterial small subunit ribosomal RNA
Source: RNAcentral